This 253-nucleotide ribosomal RNA is filed under the name uncultured bacterium. Its description in RNAcentral is "partial 16S ribosomal RNA". It matches the Rfam family "Bacterial small subunit ribosomal RNA", at positions 524 to 776 of the family's 1533-position model. The record is from RNAcentral.
UACGUAGGGCGCAAGCGUUGUCCGGAAUUAUUGGGCGUAAAGAGCUCGUAGGCGGCCUGUUACGUCUGCUGUGAAAUCCCGGGGCUUAACCCCGGGCGUGCAGUGGAUACGGGCAGGCUGGAGGCAGGCAGGGGAGAACGGAAUUCCCGGUGUAGCGGUGAAAUGCGCAGAUAUCGGGAGGAACACCGGUGGCGAAGGCGGGUCUCUGGGCCAUAACUGACGCUGAGGAGCGAAAGCGUGGGGAGCGAACAGG